UCUGUGAUCUACGUUGCAAGCAUGGUUACUAGACGUUUGUUGUUUCGUUGUGUUAAGUUACUAGCUAGCUAGUAAAGCUGUUUAAGUUAGCAUUUAACAUUAGCUAACUGCUAACGUUAUCUAAAACUUGUAGCCAGCGGCUAACUACGUUACUGAGCUAAUUUGCCAUGGGAAUCAUGUAUUCUUCGUGAGGCCUUCCUCAAUGGAGCUGUAUUAAUUAUCGUCUUCUCUCUGUAGAGACCUGCAGGACCCGAGCAGAGCUACAAUGCUCUCCCAGGUAACGUUAGGUACUUCAAGCUUUACAAUAAGAAGUCAAGGAAGGGAAGGACGACAGCCACAUCCCAGCCCUUCAGAGAACUGUCCUGCAGAAAGGGCUGUCGUCCAGACUGGAGUGGUUGUCCAUCAGUGAGCUCAGGAGACCAGAUGAUCCCAGGCGUCUGGGAGUUGUGUGUGAUAUUCCUGCACCAUCCUCAGAAGUGUUGUUGCAGACACAAGUCAGCAGAGAAAUACAGCUUGCAUAGGUGAAACUGAAUAUGUGAAAUAUAUACAUAACCCAAUUACUCAGUAUGUUUGUGUAUUGUUGGUGAUGAAAAACGGAUCCUGACCUGUGAUGUACUGCAAAUAAUGACUGACACUGAGUUCCAGUUUCUUCUACUACCGGGGCCCCAGCCAAAUACGUUCAAAUAUCCAUUAUGUAUGUGAAGUUUUAUAUUGGACUAAAAAUAAAGCAUUAUAAUAU
Sander lucioperca (pikeperch) is the source of this 739-nucleotide long non-coding RNA. RefSeq lists it as uncharacterized. Lineage: Eukaryota; Metazoa; Chordata; Actinopteri; Perciformes; Percidae. The record is from RefSeq and is a predicted model, not a curated record. The transcript is spliced from 2 exons.